GGUGAGAUGGCCGAGCGGUCUAAGGCGCCAGACUAAGGAGACCAAUGCAUUUGAUGCGUUCUGAAAUCUGGUCACAUUGUGGCGUGGGUUCGAAUCCCACUCUCAUCA
RNAcentral lists this transfer RNA (108 nucleotides) under Lentinula detonsa. Its description in RNAcentral is "tRNA-Leu". It matches the Rfam family "tRNA". Rfam says of the family: Transfer RNA (tRNA) molecules are approximately 80 nucleotides in length. Their secondary structure includes four short double-helical elements and three loops (D, anti-codon, and T loops). The record is from RNAcentral. Lineage: Eukaryota; Fungi; Basidiomycota; Agaricomycetes; Agaricales; Omphalotaceae.